AGGCACCUCUGGGGUAUCUCUUGCCACAACAGUUGCCCCUGGAAGUUUCAGCACAGAAGCCACAACUUCUGUAGGAGAAAAUGGAAAAACAAGAGGUGAAAUAAUCACAGGUACUACCGAGGGCACCUCUGGCAAAGUUCUGGAACCUGGAAGUGCCCACACAGAGGCCACAACUUUCCCAGGAGGCAGUGGGAUUACCCGAGCAGGACCGCCAGGAGGUACCACUGGAGAAUUGUCUAGAACAACCAUUAUACCUGGAAGUUCUAACACAGAGGCCACGACUUCCACAAAAGGGACUGGUACUUCUGGAACUGGCUUCAAAACUGGCACCUCUCGGGUGGCACCUGGCACAACAGUUUCCCCUGGAAGUUUCAGCACAGCCACAAUUUCCCCUGGAGCAAGUAGAACGACUGGGGCUGGACCUGCUGCAGAAACCACAACUUCCCUAGAAGGAGGUGGCACCACUGGAGCAGAAAUGAAAUCAGGAGCCACCUCCAGAGUACCGGGAAGUAACACAGGCACAGCUGGAGUGCCCUCUGCUACAACAAUUGCCCCUGGGAGCUCCAACUCAGAGGCCACGACUUCUUUAGGAGAAAGUGGAAAAACAAGAGCUGAAACAAUCACAGGUACUACUGAGGGUAAAACUCUGGCAGCUGGAAGUGCCCACACAGAGGCCACAACUUUCUCAGGAGGCAGUGGGACCACCCGAGCAGGACCACCGGGCGGCACUUCUGGCACAUCAGGAGGAUAUGUCCCUGGAAGGGAAACAGAGCCCACAACUUCCAUUGAAGAAACUGGAACUUCCAGAACUAUAUUCAAAACUGUAGGCAUCACUUCAGCCCCAGGGAGGCAAGCAGGCACCUCUGUGGUGGCGCCUAGCACAACAGUUGCCCCUGGAAGUUUCAGCACAGCAGCCACAACUUCUCCUGGAGCAAGUGGAAUGACUGGGGUUAGAACCACUUCAAAGACUACAACUUCCCUAGGUGGAACUGGCACCACUAGAACUGAAAUAAAAUCAGGAGCCACCACUGGAACACCAGGAAUUAAGACAGAUAUC
This 1057-nucleotide small RNA is filed under the name Pan troglodytes (chimpanzee). RNAcentral describes it as "processed transcript". The record is from RNAcentral. Lineage: Eukaryota; Metazoa; Chordata; Mammalia; Primates; Hominidae.